UACCUGCGCCACAAGUGGCAAUCACUAUUAUUGGGCCUAAAGCGUUCGUAGCCGGAUCGGUAAGUCUUGGGUGAAAUCGUUGCGCUUAACAAAACGGCGUGCUUGAGAAACUACCAGUCUAGGGACCGGGAAGCGUCAAGGGUAUUCCUGAGGGAGCGGUAAAAUGCUAUAAUCUCAGGAGGACCACCUGUGGCGAAGGCGCUUGACGAGAACGGGUUCGACGGUGAGGAACGAAAGCUAGGGGAGCAAACCGG
This 254-nucleotide ribosomal RNA is filed under the name uncultured bacterium. Its description in RNAcentral is "partial 16S ribosomal RNA". It matches the Rfam family "Archaeal small subunit ribosomal RNA", at positions 474 to 727 of the family's 1478-position model. The record is from RNAcentral.